Molecule: ribosomal RNA, 344 nt
Filed under: uncultured compost bacterium
Lineage: Bacteria
Description: bacterial SSU rRNA
Rfam family: Bacterial small subunit ribosomal RNA
Source: RNAcentral
UCCUGGCUCAGAUUGAACGCUGGCGGCAUGCUUUACACAUGCAAGUCGAACGGCAGCGCGGGGCAACCUGGCGGCGAGUGGCGAACGGGUGAGUAAUAUAUCGGAACGUACCCAAGAGUGGGGGAUAACGUAGCGAAAGUUACGCUAAUACCGCAUACGAUCUAAGGAUGAAAGCAGGGGACCGCAAGGCCUUGUGCUCCUGGAGCGGCCGAUAUCUGAUUAGCUAGUUGGUAGGGUAAAGGCCUACCCAGGCUACGAUCAGUAGCUGGUCUGAGAGGACGACCAGCCACACUGGAACUGAGACACGGUCCAGACUCCCUACGGAGGCAGCAGUGGGGAAUUUU